GUUCACUCGGAGAGUCGACCAGCUAGUAACAAUAAUUUAUUAGAUCCAUAAUCUCUUAUAUAUCUAAUCAUAAUCUAAUUCUCAAAAUUAUCAGGUGAUAACCGACCGUUCCUAGAACAAGUGGCAAAGGACUUGGUGGUUGAUAUUGGAGACCCAAGUUCGAAUCUUAGUUGAUUCAUAUUUUCAGCUAAGUUUAUUUCUAAAUGAAAUAAAUGAAGCGGGUAACGUGCCACCUAUCUCUCUCAAAAAAAAAAUGAAGAAAGAUUAUUAGAUGAUAUAAGACUUGUUUGAUUAGCAACAGUCCAAGAUUAUCAGAUGAUAUAAGAGUAUUCGAGACCCAAGUUCGAAUCUUAGUUGAUUCACAUUUUCAGCUAAGUUUAUUUCUAAAUAAAAUAAAUGAAGCGGGUAACGUGCCACCUAUCUCUCUCAAAAAAAAAUGAAGAAAGAUUAUCAGAUGAUAUAAGACUUGUUUGAUUAGCAACAGUCCAAGAUUAUCAAAUGAUUUGAGACUUGUCUUGUUAGUUUUGUAUUCUAAUUCAGCCUAUCACCUUGUGAUUUUGAUCUUGACUUAGCAUGUCCUCUUAUAUAUCCAAUCAUAAUCCAAUUCUCAUCUAAUGUGGGACUAUAUAUAGGCCAUGACGUCUCACACACACAGCCCAAAAUCCAAUGAUGUGAGAUUUGUUUGACUAGCUACAGCCCAAAAUCAUCAUGUGAUGUGAGGCUAGUCUUGUUGUUUUGUCAGUUCGAUCAUGACUUAGUUUGUCAUCCUACCAUUUCAAUUGUGGCUUAGUCUGUUAUUCCGACCUACUUCUGACCGGUAAUCGACUUUGAUAUCAAAUAUAAUGAUCCGAUCCACUAAUAAUAAUAACUUGUUACGUCUAAACCACUAGUUCAAAAUAUUUAAAUCUAAUUAUUAUUAUAUUACUAGUGUCCAUAAUCUCUUAUAUAUUCAAUCACAAUUCACCAUCUAUUCACUACGAAAUUAUUAAAGUGUCACACAAAAUCAAAAAAAUUCAAUUACACA
RNAcentral lists this long non-coding RNA (1024 nucleotides) under Ananas comosus (pineapple). Its description in RNAcentral is "long non-coding RNA (ACOM_LNC006659)". The record is from RNAcentral. Lineage: Eukaryota; Viridiplantae; Streptophyta; Magnoliopsida; Poales; Bromeliaceae.